AGCAGCCGCGGUAAUUCCAGCUCCAAUAGCGUAUAUUAAAGUUGUUGCAGUUAAAAAGCUCGUAGUUGAAUUUCGGGAUCAAGGAAUCGGUCAUGCCUCGGUAUGUACUGGUUUUAUUGGUUCUCACCUUCUAAAGAACCAUAAUGUCAUUCAUUUGAUGUUAUGGGGAAUUAGGACUGUUACCUUGAAAAAAUUAGAGUGUUUAAAGCAGGCUUACGCUUGAAUACAUUAGCAUGGAAUAAUGAAAUAGGACAUCAGAUUCUAUUUUGUUGGUUUCUAGGAUCGAUGUAAUGAUUAAUAGGGAUAGUUGGGGGCAUUAGUAUUCAAUUGUCAGAGGUGAAAUUCUUGGAUUUAUUGAAGACUAACUACUGCGAAAGCAUUUGCCAAGGAUGUUUUCAUUAAUCAAGAGCGAAAGUUAGGGGAUCGAAGACGAUCAGAUACCGUCGUAGU
This 450-nucleotide ribosomal RNA is filed under the name uncultured Glomeromycotina. RNAcentral describes it as "SSU rRNA". It matches the Rfam family "Eukaryotic small subunit ribosomal RNA", at positions 569 to 1024 of the family's 1831-position model. Lineage: Eukaryota; Fungi; Glomeromycota. The record is from RNAcentral.